UGCAUAAAUACUUAGAAUUGAGAGU
This 25-nucleotide non-coding RNA is filed under the name Mus musculus (house mouse). Lineage: Eukaryota; Metazoa; Chordata; Mammalia; Rodentia; Muridae. The record is from RNAcentral.